RNAcentral lists this ribosomal RNA (1372 nucleotides) under uncultured bacterium. Its description in RNAcentral is "bacterial SSU rRNA". It matches the Rfam family "Bacterial small subunit ribosomal RNA", at positions 28 to 1381 of the family's 1533-position model. The record is from RNAcentral.
GAUAAACGCUGGCGGCGUGCCUAAUACAUGCAAGUCGAGCGAACGGACGAGAAGCUUGCUUCUCUGAUGUUAGCGGCGGACGGGUGAGUAACACGUGGAUAACCUACCUAUAAGACUGGGAUAACUUCGGGAAACCGGAGCUAAUACCGGAUAAUAUUUUGAACCGCAUGGUUCAAAAGUGAAAGACGGUCUUGCUGUCACUUAUAGAUGGAUCCGCGCUGCAUUAGCUAGUUGGUAAGGUAACGGCUUACCAAGGCAACGAUGCAUAGCCGACCUGAGAGGGUGAUCGGCCACACUGGAACUGAGACACGGUCCAGACUCCUACGGGAGGCAGCAGUAGGGAAUCUUCCGCAAUGGGCGAAAGCCUGACGGAGCAACGCCGCGUGAGUGAUGAAGGUCUUCGGAUCGUAAAACUCUGUUAUUAGGGAAGAACAUAUGUGUAAGUAACUGUGCACAUCUUGACGGUACCUAAUCAGAAAGCCACGGCUAACUACGUGCCAGCAGCCGCGGUAAUACGUAGGUGGCAAGCGUUAUCCGGAAUUAUUGGGCGUAAAGCGCGCGUAGGCGGUUUUUUAAGUCUGAUGUGAAAGCCCACGGCUCAACCGUGGAGGGUCAUUGGAAACUGGAAAACUUGAGUGCAGAAGAGGAAAGUGGAAUUCCAUGUGUAGCGGUGAAAUGCGCAGAGAUAUGGAGGAACACCAGUGGCGAAGGCGACUUUCUGGUCUGUAACUGACGCUGAUGUGCGAAAGCGUGGGGAUCAAACAGGAUUAGAUACCCUGGUAGUCCACGCCGUAAACGAUGAGUGCUAAGUGUUAGGGGGUUUCCGCCCCUUAGUGCUGCAGCUAACGCAUUAAGCACUCCGCCUGGGGAGUACGACCGCAAGGUUGAAACUCAAAGGAAUUGACGGGGACCCGCACAAGCGGUGGAGCAUGUGGUUUAAUUCGAAGCAACGCGAAGAACCUUACCAAAUCUUGACAUCCUUUGACAACUCUAGAGAUAGAGCCUUCCCCUUCGGGGGACAAAGUGACAGGUGGUGCAUGGUUGUCGUCAGCUCGUGUCGUGAGAUGUUGGGUUAAGUCCCGCAACGAGCGCAACCCUUAAGCUUAGUUGCCAUCAUUAAGUUGGGCACUCUAAGUUGACUGCCGGUGGCAAACCGGAGGAAGGUGGGGAUGACGUCAAAUCAUCAUGCCCCUUAUGAUUUGGGCUACACACGUGCUACAAUGGACAAUACAAAGGGCAGCGAAACCGCGAGGUCAAGCAAAUCCCAUAAAGUUGUUCUCAGUUCGGAUUGUAGUCUGCAACUCGACUACAUGAAGCUGGAAUCGCUAGUAAUCGUAGAUCAGCAUGCUACGGUGAAUACGUUCCCGGGUCU